This 687-nucleotide long non-coding RNA is filed under the name Ananas comosus (pineapple). Its description in RNAcentral is "long non-coding RNA (ACOM_LNC031126)". Lineage: Eukaryota; Viridiplantae; Streptophyta; Magnoliopsida; Poales; Bromeliaceae. The record is from RNAcentral.
AAAAAAGUUGCCUUUAAGAUACAAUUUUGAAAAAACUUUAAAUACCACUCUUGUGGUUUUGUAUUUUUUCACUUUAGUAUCCUGUUAUUUAAAAUGUAUCAAUUUAGAAUCAUAUGGUUUCGCACUUUCUUACUUUAGUAUCCUGUGGUUUAAAGUGCAUCAAUUUAGUACCAUGUAGUUCUAUUUUUUUUUCUUUUCGUCGGCUUCUCUGUUAAUGUUUUAUUAAAUUAUGUACAAAAAAAACUUUAGAUAUCCUGCUUAAGUUUAUUGAAUAUUUACUUUAGUUCUUUUUAGUUUUAACUUUGUCACUGAUUUUUUUUCCUCCGUUAAUAUUUUGUUAAAUUAUAUACAAAAAACUUCAGAUACCCUACCUAGAUUUAUCGAAUAUUCACUGUAGUAUCCUUUAAUUUUAACUGUAUCACUGAUUUAACGAAAAAAAUUACUGAAAUAGAUAAUAAAAAGGAAAAAAACGAAAAAAAUUACUGAAAUAGAUAAUAAAAAGGAAAAAUUAAAACCAUAUGGUACUAACUUGAUACACUUUAAACCAUAGGAUACUAAAGUGAGAAAAUAUAAAAUUAUUGGGACUAACUUGAUACACUUUAAAUUAUAAAAUAUUAAAGUAAGUAAGUGUGAAACCACGAGGGGUAUUUGGAUUUUACCCUAAAAUUUUUAAGUAAUAAUAUUUAC